CGGGGGGCUGGGAAGGCAUGCAGUCACCCACCACAGAGCACUUCCACCACGUACACAGAAGACAUGUCAACAGCCUGAAGAGCAGGAGUAACUGCAAGAUAGCACAAAAGAGAGAUGAGGAAACAGACACAGAGAAGGGAAGCAUGUUACCUGAGAUAACACAGUUGGCAUGAACUAUGGAACCAUAAUUCCAACCCAGGAAUUCUUCUUGUAACGACAUCACUCUACUACCUCUUAAUAAGUUUGCUUAUGUUAGCACAUUUCCAAAGAAGACUAAUGGAAUCAUCAUUUCUACAAACUCCACUGUGUCUCUUCUAUGCAAUUCUGAAAAAUAAAAUUAGAGACAUUGGAAAACAGAGAUAUUCUCAAAGCAAUAGCAUGGGUGUGUUAUCAUGCCAGCGAUGUUUGUAUGGACAAAAAUGACCAUCCAAGAAGAAAGUCAGAAUCCCCCAUCUCAGACCAGCAGGGUCUCGUCUGCAGCACCAUGGGAGCUUCUUCAUGCUGUGAUAGGCUCCAAGAAACCAAGCCACAGCUCCCAUGCCCAGAGGUGGUCAUGACUCAAGUGAACUUCGCCUCCUGGGUAUCAAGGACAGUACUGGACACCAUCACCACAUUGAACCAUACCGGCCCUCUGUCCAACUGCACAUCCCCUGCCCUGAGAACCCAAUCAGAUUCCACCUGAUCUCCCUGUGGACUGCAGUGAUCCAUCACCUCAUCAGGACACACAGACAGAUGCACAGGUGCGCGGGCACAGCAGAAUCACAAGAAGGAUCCCACUGGCUAACUGGACCUGAACUCAAAACCCAGCCUGAGAGCCAUUUGCUGACUGAAGGGCCGCACCCGGGGCCUCUCCAUUCCUGAAAGGACACAUAGUGGGCUUCACCUGGAUACUGUGUCACUGCCCCAGAUGCCAAAAUGAAUGGUCCCAGAAGUUCUCAGGUUUUUAUUGUUUUCUUUUUGCUGCUUGGACAAACAAUGAGCUAGAAGCCCUCCCCUUUUAUCUUGAAUUCUCCCCUCCUGAACUUCUGCUACCACAGUGAUAGUUUCACCACUUUGCUAGUCAGCUCACCACUCCUGGACACUGAAUUCAAUCUGACUUUACCAGGCUCUCAGGCCUGCCCCAGGAUUUGGAUGUUAACCUAACAUGACUUACAAGUCUGAGUCCUGCAGGCAGACCUGCUCUGUCUUCAGGCACCAAGUUGCCCUGCAGGACUCCGAGCAGUGGUUCCACUGCCUGAUCACGUGUGUCUUGAACACACCAAGGAAUGGAACAUUACAAAGAAGACUCAAGCCUCAGCCAGAGUUCCAGGGCCUCACAGGGCUGUUUCCACUGAGAUACGAGUCCAGUGACUACCAGCUCCCAGAUCACAUGGCAAAAUAAAUUCCUUCUCCAGAGAAGAUGACCAUUAAGUCAGCUCUUCAUUAUUGAAGAUUAAAGGUUCUAAUGGACAAGAAAGAUGCACAGUAUAAAGGGACAACUGAAAUAAGACCCUUACCAUCGAUCACAAAAUGAUACGUGCAAUGCCUACAUCAGAGCACCUCUUUCAAACAGUUAAAAACACUUAAGCAAAGUGUUUGACUCUUAAGCAAACACAGAAAGGUUUGUAAGCUCAUUAACAAAUGGUCCAGGGAAGAGUAUUUUUGAGAAGGUAGAAAUUUACAGGCAUUUUUGAGAGGAUGUAAGAAAGAGAUUGGUAGAUUACAUUAAAACGAAUUCAUGUCCUCCAGGGCACUAAUAUCUUUACAGUAACCUUUCAUACCUGCAAAAAGGCACUCGCCAAUUUAGUAGAUAACAUCUCAAUUAUAAUCAAAUAGUAAAUGAGUAAGGCAGCCAUGGGAUCAUUCUCCUAGAUAAUUAAGCAGUCAUAGACACCUAUUAAACAAUGCCCUUGUAGAAGACUGAGAGGUCACACUAUCACACAUUCUUUGGCAAUAUUUACAAGCAGUACAGAAUUUUUCUUAAAGUGUGACAAAAAAUAACAUUUAAAGAAUAUAACUUUGGGCUGGGUUGUGGCUCAG
This is a long non-coding RNA of Marmota monax (woodchuck), 2019 nucleotides long. RefSeq lists it as uncharacterized. NCBI's taxonomy places the organism in Eukaryota, Metazoa, Chordata, Mammalia, Rodentia, Sciuridae. The record is from RefSeq and is a predicted model, not a curated record. The transcript is spliced from 4 exons.